Molecule: transfer RNA, 89 nt
Filed under: Fidelibacterota bacterium
Lineage: Bacteria; Pseudomonadati; Fidelibacterota
Description: tRNA-Ser
Rfam family: tRNA
About the family: Transfer RNA (tRNA) molecules are approximately 80 nucleotides in length. Their secondary structure includes four short double-helical elements and three loops (D, anti-codon, and T loops).
Source: RNAcentral
GGAGGGGUGGCAGAGUCUGGCUGAUUGCACUGGUCUUGAAAACCAGCAAGGGGUUAAACCCUUCGGGGGUUCGAAUCCCUCCCCCUCCG